GACGGAGGAUGCAAGCGUUAUCCGGAAUUAUUGGGCGUAAAGCGUCCGUAGGCGGUUUCAAAAGUCUGUUGUUAAAGCCCACAGCUCAACUGUGGAUCGGCAAUGGAAACUGUGAGACUAGAGAGUGGUAGGGGUAGAGGGAAUUCCUAGUGUAGCGGUGAAAUGCAUAGAUAUCGUCAAGAACACCGAUAGCGAAGGCAGCUUACUAAGUUGUAACUGACGCUGAUGCACGAAAGUGUGGGGAUCAAACAGG
This 253-nucleotide ribosomal RNA is filed under the name uncultured bacterium. RNAcentral's name for it is "partial 16S ribosomal RNA". It matches the Rfam family "Bacterial small subunit ribosomal RNA", at positions 524 to 776 of the family's 1533-position model. The record is from RNAcentral.